UACAAAUACAGAGACAAAUGUCACUUUGGAGGAUGUACUUUUCGUAACAAUCACAAGCCAAAAACUCAUCCAAGGUUGUUUCCCAACCAAAAGCUUUCUCUAGAAGUAAUCUCUUUAAGGGUCUUGGUGGACAGGACAAGACUGAAAAUGGGACUCCUAGGUCCAGACUCCUCCCUCAGGAAUGAAAGACAACAUCCAUUACAUUGUUGGGAAGAAUAAAACAAAUACUUUUUU
Molecule: long non-coding RNA, 234 nt
Filed under: Phoenix dactylifera (date palm)
Lineage: Eukaryota; Viridiplantae; Streptophyta; Magnoliopsida; Arecales; Arecaceae
Description: long non-coding RNA (PDAC_LNC007778)
Source: RNAcentral